RNAcentral lists this ribosomal RNA (531 nucleotides) under uncultured bacterium. RNAcentral describes it as "partial 16S ribosomal RNA". It matches the Rfam family "Bacterial small subunit ribosomal RNA", at positions 355 to 895 of the family's 1533-position model. The record is from RNAcentral.
UGGGGAAUAUUGCACAAUGGGCGAAAGCCUGAUGCAGCAACGCCGCGUGAGGGACGACGGCCUUCGGGUUGUAAACCUCUUUUAGCAAGGAAGAAGCGAAAGUGACGGUACUUGCAGAAAAAGCGCCGGCUAACUACGUGCCAGCAGCCGCGGUAAUACGUAGGGCGCAAGCGUUAUCCGGAAUUAUUGGGGCGUAAAGAGCUCGUAGGCGGUUUGUCGCGUCUGCUGUGAAAACCCGAGGCUCAACCUCGGGCCUGCAGUGGGUACGGGCAGACUAGAGUGCGGUAGGGGAGAUUGGAACUCCUGGUGUAGCGGUGGAAUGCGCAGAUAUCAGGAAGAACACCGAUGGCGAAGGCAGAUCUCUGGGCCGUAACUGACGCUGAGGAGCGAAAGGGUGGGGAGCAAACAGGCUUAGAUACCCUGGUAGUCCACCCCGUAAACGUUGGGAACUAGUUGUGGGGUCCAUUCCACGGAUUCCGUGACGCAGCUAACGCAUUAAGUUCCCCGCCUGGGGAGUACGGCCGCAAGGCU